Molecule: ribosomal RNA, 508 nt
Filed under: uncultured bacterium
Lineage: Bacteria
Description: partial 16S ribosomal RNA
Rfam family: Bacterial small subunit ribosomal RNA
Source: RNAcentral
GACGAACGCUGGCGGCGUGCCUAAUACAUGCAAGUCGAACGCUUCUUUCCUUCCGAGUGCUUGCACUCAAUUGGAAAGAGGAGUGGCGGACGGGUGAGUAACACGUGGGUAACCUACCCAUCAGAGGGGGAUAACACUUGGAAACAGGUGCUAAUACCGCAUAACAGUUUAUGCCGCAUGGCAUAAGAGUGAAAGGCGCUUUCGGGUGUCGCUGAUGGAUGGACCCGCGGUGCAUUAGCUAGUUGGUGAGGUAACGGCUCACCAAGGCCACGAUGCAUAGCCGACCUGAGAGGGUGAUCGGCCACACUGGGACUGAGACACGGCCCAGACUCCUACGGGAGGCAGCAGUAGGGAAUCUUCGGCAAUGGACGAAAGUCUGACCGAGCAACGCCGCGUGAGUGAAGAAGGUUUUCGGAUCGUAAAACUCUGUUGUUAGAGAAGAACAAGGACGUUAGUAACUGAACGUCCCCUGACGGUAUCUAAUCAGAAAGCCACGGCUAACUACGUG